RNAcentral lists this ribosomal RNA (653 nucleotides) under uncultured bacterium. RNAcentral's name for it is "bacterial SSU rRNA". It matches the Rfam family "Bacterial small subunit ribosomal RNA", at positions 201 to 847 of the family's 1533-position model. The record is from RNAcentral.
UUAAAAGUCCUUCUGGGAAUGCUUUGAGAUGGUCCUGCGGCGCAUUAGCUAGUUGGUGAGGUAGUAGCUUACCAAGGCGACGAUGCCUAGCUGAGCUGAGAGGCCAAACAGCCACACUGGGACUGAGACACGGCCCAGACUCCUACGGGAGGCAGCAGUAGGGAAUUUUCGGCAAUGGGGGAAACCCUGACCGAGCAAUGCCGCGUGAAUGAUGAAAUUCUUCGGAAUGUAAAAUUCUGUUGUGAGGGAAGAAAGGUAGUAUCAGGAAAUGGGUAUUACUUGACGGUACCUUACUAGAAAGCCCCGGCUAACUAUGUGCCAGCAGCCGCGGUAAUACAUAGGGGGCGAGCGUUAUCCGGAAUUAUUGGGCGUAAAGCGUGCGUAGGCGGUCGUUUAAGUCUGUCGUGAAAGCCCACAGCUUAACUGUGGAGGGUCGAUGGAAACUGGAUGGCUUGAAUCUAGAAGAGGUAAGUGGAAUUCCAUGUGUAGCGGUAAAAUGCUUAGAUAUAUGGAGGAACACCAGUGGCGAAGGCGGCUUACUGGUCUAGCAUUGACGCUGAGGCACGAAAGCGUAGGUAGCAAACAGGAUUAGAUACCCUGGUAGUCUACGCUGUAAACGAUGAGCACUAAGUGUCGGACGUAAGUUCGGUGCU